AAAAUCAAAGUAAAAUUCUUAGUAAGAAAGUAUACAAACAUCCGUUGAUUUAGCAAUUGCUCACUUUUCUUCCAACUUUCUCUUUUGUCCCUUAACCGUCUGCAUCCAAUAUAUUAAAAGGGGCAGUGAGGUUGAAACUUAGUUUAAGCCCUUCUCAACCAUCAAAAUGAAUUUGGUUAUAAAUGUAUCACACUGAAACAGACAAUUAAACAGAUGGUAAGCAGAAACCUAAAGCAUUCAAAAUGUACAAAAUAUGUUCAAAUGGAAUAUAGAUGAACAGGAUGCAACUUAAAAUUAUAUAGCAUAAUGGAGUUGGGCAAUCACCAUAUAUUUUGAAUUAAUGGAGCUGGAUAUUGAAUUCAAAAGCCCCUGACACUUCUCAAAAGUGAUUGUUCAAUUCAUUAACCUUUACAAACAAUUCAUCAAAUGCCCAAAAAAAAAGAAAAAAAAAAAUCUCAUUAUACUCUCUAAUGAUCCAAUCUCAUUUGCAGAAUUUUGUUUACAUAAAUUGUGUAAAAAAGAGUGAAGAGCAACCACUGGAUGACACAAAAAUUUGAAGCCCUACACUUUGAAUUGGUAUAUGAAAGAGGGGAAAAGGGAAAUUAAAAAACUGCUUGACAGCAUUCCCGAAAAGUCUAGUUACAAAAUUUAUUUUGCCAACUAAAUUUAGCUUCUUGACCAACUCUAACCAUUAACCAUUAUCAACCCAAAGAAAAAUACAAAAAUCAAACCUGAGGUUUUCUUGUGACAUUCUUUUUCAUUCAUUUCUCAUAAACUAAGCCUAUAUUGAAUCUCUACAAGCUUAACAACAGUAAACAAUAGCACAUAUUCAAUCAAAUAACAUGAGUCUAGCUGAAAACAAAUUCAAUUUGAGUCCCAAUAAACAAUUUUUAGUAAGAUAUAUCAUUGCAACUAAGGUAGUGAAGAAAAAUAAGUACCCUUCCCAAUGGAACACCAUAGGUAGAUAGUUCCAAAUUAAGACUAUAAAACCAUUUAUAUGUUAGAUAACUAAAGCUAGAUUAAUUUCUUGUUGAAUACGAUUGUCCAUACUCUUUGCCUAUGACCAUGAUGCAUAGAAAAAGUUGACAAAAUUAACAUGAUAAUCUAUCUAUCUAAAAGAUAAAUAUCAAUAAGAUUCAAGAUUCUACCCGUACCUUUAAAACGUGUCCAACUGUAUCCUUGCAAAUGUAUAAUUGAAAAUUUUCAUAGCAUUUAUAAAGUUAAUGAGUUAUAAUGAAUAUCAUCCAUAAUUACUAAUCCGAUCUUCAAUAAGACAUAGCAAUUCCUUGAUUCAUCUAUAGUCAUUGGAUCCCUGAGAAAAACAUCAAUGAAACCAUUUCAUAAUCUAUUUUCAUUUCAUAGUACCCAUAAAUCAUUCUAAUAAAGAAUAGCAGUUCAAAAUUAACAAACUCAAGUCACAAUCAAAUAAUAAAACAAAUUUGUAUAAAAUCAAAUAUAAAACAAAGAUAGAGAAGAUGAGAAAAUUCGUUCAUAAUCAAUUAUAAAGCAUGCAAAUUUCCUGAAAAAUUAAAGGAAUUAAUUAAAGAGAGAAAAUAUAGUAGUUAUUCUUAUCAAAAUCCAAAUAACAUAUAAGACUAUUUCUAUGAAAACCCAAAUAACCAAACAGAGAAGAAAACCUAGUUAGUAAUGAAGUGCAACAGAAAAGAAGAGAUUUUACAAAGAGAGAAGAGAAGAAGAAUUAGGAACACAGUGCAUAGAUGAAAUCGGAGAAGAAGCACAUAAGGAAGAUGAAGUCGGCGAAGUAGAGGUACUAUGUGGAAAAGAUACGUGAUGAAGAAGAUAAGAGUGAAUUCGCCAUGGAAAAAAAAAAUCUAGCAUUAAAUGAAGAAGUUUCGAGAGAGAAUAAGGGCAAGACAGGAAUAACAUUAAAAUGAAAUGGCUUAAAGGGCAUUACACUGUUCUAUGAACAGUAAUUUUGGAUUUCGUUUUAGUAUAUAUAUAGUUUGAAUAAAAUUUUGGGAUUUUGAUAAAUUAGGCAUUGGAUUGUGAAAUUGAUUUGGGAAUCGAGUUCUACAUGAAAAACUACCGCUAACAUUUGAAUCUUGAGGAAUUCGGUAACCACCGCUCCUCUGGCCACGUAGACGGUGGCUCUGGUAACCGGAAAUGAUUACAGUAGGUAGAAUGCUCCGUCUAAUGUGUUGGUCAUGAAUAAGUAAUUAGUUUUGCAAAUAGAUGCCAUUCGAUACUUGAAAUAUUAAUCGAUGCAAUUAGACAAACAGACCUCAAAGCCAAAAAUCACAGAAAUCGAUAAAACAAGAGUUAAGAUAUUCCUAGGAAAAAUGUUGUUAGCUAAUUAACUGAAGUAAUCAUCUUUAAUAAUAGCUAGAAGUGAUCAAUGAUUUGAAAUAAGGAUAAGAGUAAGGUUCUAGCUCUUUGAUGGAAAUACAAAUUGCUAGGUUCUAGUUUGUUAUGUGAUACUCAACCUUAGUUCAAUAAAAAAAAAAAAUGUGAAGAUGAUGUUUUAGAUUGACGGAAACUCAACGGAAUUGAAUAAAUAGAACUGAGUUAGUUGUCAAAUUAGAUAUCAAUAAUAAUGAAUUAUGGAUUUAUUAAACUGUCAAGCAUUGGAAAUGCCUAUGAACUUGAUUGGACAUAACUGGGUGCGCGCUAGACAAGUUCAGAUUAUUAUUACCAUUGUUGACAAGAACUUGCUAUUUGUUUUUCAUAUAGUAUAUACCAGAUGUAAAAUACAUACAUGGUGAUGUUGAGACUAGUGAAUGAAUACUUGAGUUAUGUUGAUGAAUGGAGGAUGGAAAUUAUUGAUUUGGAUUCCCCGAAGGAUGGGCUUUGUGUGAUUGAUGAUGAUGGUAGUUGAACUACCUUAUUUUUGUUGCUUUUCACAGGGACUUUGUAUCUGAUUUUUAGGGAAAAUUCUGCCGAAAUUUCGGUAGAAUAAAUUGAGUAGACUUUUCUUUAAAUUCUCUAGUUGAUAACCUUAUUCACUUCUUUAGAAUCUGAUGUUUUCUCCUUAUUAUUGUAUCACCUAUAGACCGUCUAGGACAAGCAGAUAUGGCUCCGGGAUUCCAGUAUAUGUAAAUUACCAUAUAUUUAUUUAUUUUUUUUUAAAGAACAUAAAUUAGGUUUACAGUGAUCACCACAACUAUGUUGUUUUGGUGUAGGGUUUAUAGUUUCAUCCUAAAACCAUACUUUCUUCCCCGCUCGCAUAAUUCUAGCAUUGUGAUCUCUCUUUAGAUCAAUCUCUGAUUGCCUCUUUGCUUAUAGUAGACGAACUCCAAAAGGAAGUUAAAGCUUUAAAAUUUAGCAGAGAGGCAAGAGAUGUUGUACAUAGUUGGUCUGGGAUUGGGAGAUGAGAAGGACAUCACCAUUAGAGGCUUAGAAGCAGUAAAAAAAUGCGAGAAAGUUUACAUGGAAGCGUACACUUCUCUCCUCUCCUUUGGCUUAUCCGGAGAUGGACUUUCUACUCUGGUACUUCUUUAAACCUCUCCUUUUUUCUAAUUCUCAUUUAUUUUUUCAUAUCUUUUCAUUUAGAUAUGUAAAUGUUAAUUUUCUUUGCAGGAAAAUUUGUACGGGAAACGAAUCACCAUUGCUGAUAGAGAGAUGGUAGAAGAAAAGGCUGAUGAUAUAUUAUCAGAGGCUCGUGUGUCUGAUGUGGCUUUCCUUGUUGUUGGAGAUCCUUUUGGGUAUUGUAUCUAUUGAAUUUUACUUGAGUUUGGAUUUUGUUGUUGUAUUGUGAAGUUUGCUAUUUUAUGCUUUCGUUUUACUGGAUUAGUUGUUCUCUAAUUGCUAUACAUUACUUAUUUGGAUAAUUUGAUUUGGAAUUCAGUGCUACAACACAUUCAGAUCUUGUUGUUCGAGCAAACACAUUGAGGGUUAAUGUCAAAGUAGUACAUAAUGCAUCUGUGAUGAAUGCAAUUGGAAUUUGUGGAUUACAAUUAUAUCGCUAUGGGGAGACCGUCUCAAUACCCUUUUUUAGUGAUACAUGGAGACCUGAUAGCUUUUAUGAGAAGAUACGAAUAAAUCGUGAACUUGGAUUGCAUACGCUUUGCUUGUUAGGUAAGCUUUUAAUUUUCACAAAUCUAAAUUUAGUUUUAUGGUUGUGAAAUUUGCUACUUAAAAUUUUCUUCUUGCAACUGCAACACCAUAUGGUGAAAUUUUGUACUAAUGCAUUCACUCUUCUUUUUGUUUCAAGAAUAACAACAAGACUUUGAAUCUGUACAAAAUGCAUUACCAGACUCGUUUGUG
This 4224-nucleotide long non-coding RNA is filed under the name Jatropha curcas. Its description in RNAcentral is "long non-coding RNA (JCUR_LNC002105)". Lineage: Eukaryota; Viridiplantae; Streptophyta; Magnoliopsida; Malpighiales; Euphorbiaceae. The record is from RNAcentral.